GCCUAAUACAUGCAAGUCGAGCGAAUCUUAAGGUGCUUGCACCUUUUGGUUAGCGGCGGACGGGUGAGUAACACGUGGGCAACCUGCCUGUAAGACUGGGAUAACUUCGGGAAACCGGAGCUAAUACCGGAUAAUCCUUUUCCUCUCAUGAGGAAAAGUUGAAAGUCGGUUUACGCUGACACUUACAGAUGGGCCCGCGGCGCAUUAGCUAGUUGGUGAGGUAACGGCUCACCAAGGCGACGAUGCGUAGCCGACCUGAGAGGGUGAUCGGCCACACUGGGACUGAGACACGGCCCAGACUCCUACGGGAGGCAGCAGUAGGGAAUCUUCCGCAAUGGACGAAAGUCUGACGGAGCAACGCCGCGUGAGCGAUGAAGGCCUUCGGGUCGUAAAGCUCUGUUGUUAGGGAAGAACAAGUACCGGAGUAACUGCCGGUACCUUGACGGUACCUAACCAGAAAGCCACGGCUAACUACGUGCCAGCAGCCGCGGUAAUACGUAGGUGGCAAGCGUUGUCCGGAAUUAUUGGGCGUAAAGCGCGCGCAGGCGGUCCUUUAAGUCUGAUGUGAAAGCCCACGGCUCAACCGUGGAGGGUCAUUGGAAACUGGGGGACUUGAGUACAGAAGAGGAAAGCGGAAUUCCACGUGUAGCGGUGAAAUGCGUAGAGAUGUGGAGGAACACCAGUGGCGAAGGCGGCUUUCUGGUCUGUAACUGACGCUGAGGCGCGAAAGCGUGGGGAGCAAACAGGAUUAGAUACCCUGGUAGUCCACGCCGUAAACGAUGAGUGCUAAGUGUUAGAGGGUUUCCCGCCCUUUAGUGCUGCAGCUAACGCAUUAAGCACUCCGCC
This 846-nucleotide ribosomal RNA is filed under the name Bacillus sp. LPPA 992. RNAcentral's name for it is "bacterial SSU rRNA". It matches the Rfam family "Bacterial small subunit ribosomal RNA", at positions 46 to 873 of the family's 1533-position model. The record is from RNAcentral. Lineage: Bacteria; Bacillati; Bacillota; Bacilli; Caryophanales; Bacillaceae.